AGUGAACGCUGGCGGUAGGCCUAACACAUGCAAGUCGAACGGCAGCACCGUAAGAGCUUGCUCUUACGGGUGGCGAGUGGCGGACGGGUGAGUAAUCCAUCGGAAUCUACUUUUUCGUGGGGGAUAACGUAGGGAAACUUACGCUAAUCCCGCAUACGACCUACUGGUGAAAGCAGGGGAUCUUCGGACCUUGCUCGAUUGAAUGAGCCGAUGUCGGAUUAUCUAGUUGGCGGGUUAAAGGCCCACCAAGGCGACGAUCCGUAGCUGGUCUGAGAGGAUGAUCAGCCACACUGGAACUGAGACACGGUCCAGACUCCUACGGGAGGCAGCAGUGGGGAAUAUUGGACAAUGGGCGCAAGCCUGAUCCAGCCAUACCGCGUGGGUGAAGAAGGCCUUCGGGUUGUAAAGCCCUUUUGUUGGGAAAGAAAAGCAGCAGGUUAAUACCCCGCUGUUCUGACGGUACCCAAAGAAUAAGCACCGGCUAACUUCGUG
This 492-nucleotide ribosomal RNA is filed under the name uncultured bacterium. RNAcentral's name for it is "partial 16S ribosomal RNA". It matches the Rfam family "Bacterial small subunit ribosomal RNA", at positions 29 to 507 of the family's 1533-position model. The record is from RNAcentral.